GACGAACGCUGGCGGCGUGCUUAACACAUGCAAGUCGAACGGAAAGGCCCUGCUUUUGUGGGGUGCUCGAGUGGCGAACGGGUGAGUAACACGUGAGUAACCUGCCCUUGACUUUGGGAUAACUUCAGGAAACUGGGGCUAAUACCGGAUAGGAGCUCCUGCUGCAUGGUGGGGGUUGGAAAGUUUCGGCGGUUGGGGAUGGACUCGCGGCUUAUCAGCUUGUUGGUGGGGUAGUGGCUUACCAAGGCUUUGACGGGUAGCCGGCCUGAGAGGGUGACCGGCACCUUGGCGCCUGAGGGCGGCCCCAGCGGCGUACGGGGGGCAGUGGGGGGAAGUAUGCCCCAGGGGGCGGGAGCCGGUGGCGGCAGCCCCGGGGGCGGAAUGCCGGCUUGCGGUUAAAAACCCGCUUCCGCUUAAGACGACGCGGGAGUGACGGUAAGGAAUAAAGAAGCACCGGCUAACUUCGUG
RNAcentral lists this ribosomal RNA (468 nucleotides) under uncultured bacterium. RNAcentral describes it as "partial 16S ribosomal RNA". It matches the Rfam family "Bacterial small subunit ribosomal RNA", at positions 28 to 507 of the family's 1533-position model. The record is from RNAcentral.